Molecule: ribosomal RNA, 413 nt
Filed under: uncultured microorganism
Description: bacterial SSU rRNA
Rfam family: Archaeal small subunit ribosomal RNA
Source: RNAcentral
GUGCACCAGGCGAGAAUCCUUCGCAAUGCGGGAAACCGCGACGAGGGGACUCCCAGUGCCUACGCUCAGCGUAGGCUGUUCCCGAGCCUAGAAAGCUCGGGGAGUAAGGGCUGGGUAAGACGGGUGCCAGCCGCCGCGGUAAUACCCGCAGCCCGAGUGGUGGCCACUAUUAUUGGGCCUAAAGCGUCCGUAGCCGGCCCGGUAAAUGCCUGGGUAAAUCGUGAGGCCUAACCUCACGAAUUCCGGGUAGACUGCCGGGCUAGGGACCGGAGGAGGGAGAGGGUACUCCAGGGGUAGGGGUGAAAUCCUGUAAUCCCUGGAGGACCACCGGUGGCGAAGGCGCUCUCCUAGGACGGGUCCGACGGUGAGGGACGAAAGCCAGGGGAGCGAACCGGAUUAGAUACCCGCGUAGU